UGGCGCCCAGACGUGGGGCCCGAGGCACGGGGGAAUCCAGUGAGGAAUGCCGUUGAUCAGAAAAGAGGACUGCAAGUCGUUUCAUUAAUCAAGAGGUCGCCGUGAACACACCCGGUUCGAAGGAAAGACCUAGAAGGUAAGCGGAUGGCGAUAUCAUAGGACAAGAAAUCAGUGCACAAGAAAAGUUUAUUGAGAGUCUUAAAGACUCACUCAAGGCGCGAGGAGUAAGGGUUAAGAAGAAAGAUCUUGCUCAUUUUUUCCUUUUCCUUAGAGAUGUUUGCCUUU
This is a non-coding RNA of Erinaceus europaeus (western European hedgehog), 285 nucleotides long. The record is from Rfam. Lineage: Eukaryota; Metazoa; Chordata; Mammalia; Eulipotyphla; Erinaceidae.